GGAGGGAUCAUUACAAGUGACCCCGGGCUUCGGCCUGGUUAUUCAUAACCCUUUGUUGUCCGACUCUGUUGCCUCCGGGGCGACCCUGCCUUCGGGCGGGGGCUCCGGGUGGACACUUCAAACUCUUGCGUAACUUUGCAGUCUGAGUAAACUUAAUUAAUAAAUUAAAACUUUUAACAACGGAUCUCUUGGUUCUGGCAUCGAUGAAGAACGCAGCGAAAUGCGAUAAGUAAUGUGAAUUGCAGAAUUCAGUGAAUCAUCGAAUCUUUGAACGCACAUUGCGCCCCCUGGUAUUCCGGGGGGCAUGCCUGUUCGAGCGUCAUUUCACCACUCAAGCCUCGCUUGGUAUUGGGCAACGCGGUCCGCCGCGUGCCUCAAAUCGUCCGGCUGGGUCUUCUGUCCCCUAAGCGUUGUGGAAACUAUUCGCUAAAGGGUGUUCGGGAGGCUACGCCGUAAAACAACCCCAUUUCUAAGGUUGACCUCGGAUCAGGUAGGGAUACCCGCUGAACUUAAGCAU
RNAcentral lists this ribosomal RNA (517 nucleotides) under Cladosporium sp. 1 PV-2016. Its description in RNAcentral is "eukaryotic LSU rRNA". The stretch from base 169 to 322 matches the Rfam family "5.8S ribosomal RNA". Lineage: Eukaryota; Fungi; Ascomycota; Dothideomycetes; Cladosporiales; Cladosporiaceae. The record is from RNAcentral.